CAUUUGUGAUCAUUCAAAUUCAAACAAUUACUUUUUAAAAGUUCACCAAAACAAACUAAACAAAAAUGCCGAAAAUGUUGAUUAAGAGUGUGAGAAUAUCCAUUGCAUGACUGAAGCCCCAAAAUUAAUCAUUGACUACACACCUAAAAGAAGAAUCCAGAGAAAACCAAUUCAGAAAUAGUCACUGGUUGAAAAGCAUAAAUAUUUUUACAGUGUCAGCAUACACAAGCACCUCUUUCAAAUAAAGGGGUAUCAAGGUCUACGAACAAUGUCCACAAGAACAGUUGAUUUUAAGUCAUGCGACUGCAGUGACACAAGAAAAUACUUGAUACUAAAAAAAGUUCAUCUUUAAAGCCAUUGACAGCACUAUGAAGGAUGUCUGUUUGCACCCCAACACUGUGACUACUGCAAAGCAAAACACAUUCAGUUCUAAUCCCCAAUAAAAGCAGAUUUCAUAUAGUGACUAAUUGAGUCAGCCAUCACACUAUUGGUGAGAUUAAAGGACAUUUUCCCCUAAAGUAAUUCAUUAUAAACAGCAUUUUUUGUCCAAACUUUUUUAUGUUUCCUCUACCUCUUAGGCAACACUUCCUGUAUAAAUGUGGUUGUGCUUGACAGACAAAACUAAAAUUUCAGGUUUUUAUUCUAAAAUACUCUUGUUAACACCUCUUUGAGGUUUGAUUUGCACUUCAUCUAAACUACAAGAACAAGUGUCUUUUUUUAUCUUUUAAAACACCAAAUCAAGAUAUUAUGUCCAAAUGCACCUAUGUCUUCUCAAAAAUAUAGCAUUUCAGUCAUCACAACAAAAUAAUAACAGUUCUAUAAAUAAGUUUUUUAUCUUAAACAAAUCUUUCCAGUGCCUCAAGUAGAGUAACCACGGGCCAAUUUCCCCACAACACUGUCAGCGCAUAGAGCCUUUAAGCAUCUUCUCUUUAUGUUUCAUCUUCAAGUUUCAGGAUGGUAGGAGAGACUGUCCAGAGCUUCCUAUUUCCAUCAGGCAUUGCAAGCAUCACUGUUUCCUUCCAACGGGCUGUAGGAGACACAGUUCACUCCCAGCUGACACAAUCGGCAGAUUGUUGUCACGGUGAUGGCCAAUAAGAUGGCUAAUGCUGUCAAAUAUAUGAUCUUUUGUCCGUACCUUUGAAAAAAGAAACAGAUGUUAUAUGUCUGUUUUGGCCUAAUAAGAAGUUAAAUUUUUACUUGCACUAUGAAAAAUCUUUCACUUUAUGCAUUCCUGCUCACUGAGACCUUCAGUCAUUUUUAUCUACAGUAUCUCCCUGAAACACACUCCACAAGCACUUUAAUCUUACCGUGCCCUCAGGGUCCACAAGCAGUAGGUGUUUGGCAAGUCCAUUGUGCAUGCCCGUCAGAACGUAGGACCCUGGGUUGGUAGUGCUUUUACGAACCAGGAAGUCCCCAUCUUCUUUCAGCAGUUUUUCAGCGUCACGGCGGCUCAUUUUGCCAUGGUACCAUGUUUGGCCUUCCAGCUCCUCCUGUGCCCGGAAGGCCAGUGAGCGCACAAGAAGAGGGCUCGAGUUGUCCACGGAUGCUGCCUUGUGAAGACCAGAAGGCACCUGGGACUGGGCUUGCCCCUGGGACGGUGGAUGGGACUGCGACUGAAUGGCAUCCUCGAAGGGCUCUGGUAUAGGUGUAUUAUGACCUCACCUGUCGUGUGUGGAGGACGGUUUGCUUGAGGGACACUGCAGGUACUGCUGGAAGCGAAGGUCAAAGGCCUGGCCAAUGGUGCUGAUGACGUCCUGGGCCAGCCCGUCAGAGCACUCCAGGAUGUGACAUGCUGACGAGGGCCAGAGAAACAAAUUUUAAUGAACAUCUUACAUGUGAGAUAUGAUACACUCAAGUCUGAAUUAAAGGCAUGAACACCUACCUCUUCUGUUAACGGGGUCCUUUGCUACAUAGGCAACAUAAUCUGUUGUGUCCUAAAAAAAGAUACAUUACAACUGUUGUAAUAAUCUCCAACUAUAAAAUACCAUAAUACCUUCAUACAAUAACCUUUAUUUUCUGGUUAUUACAUAUUGGCUUUUAAUACCAGUGAUGGGAGGUUAAAAUUCAUAAUUUCCAAAUACAGAAUAACUAAUAAAUAUUGUAAUACAAUUUGGAUAUUUAGUCAUGUUUGAAGAGGGAACAUAUUUUGGAACAGGUCUUCAGUGAACAAUGUACAGUAUUGUCAGUAAGAGUAAUACAAUCUAGACUGUAUAAACAUUUGUUACACAGUAUAAUGACACAUGCUUCUUUGAACUAUAUAUACUGUAAAUGCACUUCUUGCAAGUGCGUUCCAAAAAAUUCCAAUUAAUAAAGAUAGAAUGACAAUACAACUUUGAUAAAUAAUAGUUUCUCCCAUGGCCAAACUUAUUUGUUAAUUAUAUUAGCAAAAAUAUAUUUUUGUUAUUAAGUAGUUUUCAUUAUUAUUAUAUUAUAUUAUUACAGAUGGCAGUUAAUUUGACACAGGUGACUGAGUUACUUACAGGAUCUCCACCUGAUGCAAAAGAGAUGGACUGCAUGUGAUGGUUGGCUAUGAUCUAUCAAGAGCAAAAUUAUACAGUACACAUUAGUUAGCACAUGCCCCUUUAUACAAACAGUGAUAGAUACAAAAGCACAUGCAUUAAUUCUACACACAUACAGUAUAUAUACUUUAAAAUGCAUAUCAGAAAUUUGUUUAUUUCUUUUAUUCCUAUACCCAACGACAAAACUCUGUUGCUGGUAUCUAACACACUGUGACGCAGCCAUAUUGGAAGUCUUCUGAAACAGUACCCUAUAAAGACAUAUUUUGAAUUUUGUGAUUUUCUGAAAUGUAUUUGCUUUCUAUACCACUUUUAUGUCUGUGUGUUAAAUAUGGAGCUGGAGACAGAAGACAUGCUUUGCAUAAAAAGUGGAGCAGGGGGUAAAAUCCUGUACCCUUAGGCUCACUAAUUAACACUGUGUAUCUUAAUUGUUGUCUAUAGAAAUGUAAAAAUGAAAAGUUGUGGUUUGACUGACUGGUUGUAUUUCUUAACAUCUCAAACAUCUCAUCACAUUUCUCAAAACAAUUAAAACAGCAUGGUUAAUGUCA
This is a long non-coding RNA of Micropterus dolomieu (smallmouth bass), 3064 nucleotides long. RefSeq lists it as uncharacterized. Lineage: Eukaryota; Metazoa; Chordata; Actinopteri; Centrarchiformes; Centrarchidae. The record is from RefSeq and is a predicted model, not a curated record. The transcript has 2 exons.